GACGAACGCUGGCGGCGUGCUUAACACAUGCAAGUCGAGCGGAAAGGCCCUUCGGGUUACUCGAGCUGGGAAGGGGUGAGUGAGAGUUGAAUAAGCUGAACCCGCCUUUGGGAUAACGGUAGGAACCGGGGACUACGGCCGGAAACGACACAGAUUUGCUGGGGCUCUGUGUGGAAAGGUGAGCGGCUUGGGAUGGGCUCGUGGCAUAUGAGUUUGUUGGUGGGGUGCUGGUCUACCAAGGCGAAGACGGGUAGCCGGCCUGAGCGGGCGACCGGCCACAGUGGGACUGAGACACGGCCCAGACUCCUACGGGAGGCAGCAGUGGGGAAUAUUGCACAAUGGGCGGAAGCCUGAUGCAGCGACGCCGCGUGCGGGAUGACGGCCUUCGGGUUGUAAACCUCUUUCAGCAGGGACGAAGCGUAAGUGACGGUACCUGCAGAAGAAGCGCCGGCUAACUACGUG
This 462-nucleotide ribosomal RNA is filed under the name uncultured bacterium. RNAcentral's name for it is "partial 16S ribosomal RNA". It matches the Rfam family "Bacterial small subunit ribosomal RNA", at positions 28 to 507 of the family's 1533-position model. The record is from RNAcentral.